AUUUAUGACUUCUUUCGCAGAAAAGUGUGAAAAAAAAGGGUACCCGAAAAAUGCAAGUGAAUAAAGUUCCACAUAACUACGUCCCUUUUCAGAGUGUGGGAAUCUCAUUAUGCUCCUCUUGUUGGUGCUCUCCCAAGAGAGCUUGGAUCAUGUUUUACUGCAUGGUGAGGUCGCAGAGAUUGUCUGGAUGGGGUUCCAUGAGUUCGGUCUUACCUUCCUCAGACGUCGGGUGCUUUUUUUUCCGAUCUAUUUUGAUAAACCACUCCUACUCAAACCCAUAUGGAGCAGAUGCUAUAUUAACUGCCUCAUUCAUUUUGUGGGAGCUGUGGACCGCGAGAAACAAGAAUCGUUAUGAAGGUCGGACCCAACCGCGCCAUUUCUUUCAAGGUGCUGCUCCAGGUUCG
RNAcentral lists this long non-coding RNA (404 nucleotides) under Spirodela polyrhiza (greater duckweed). RNAcentral describes it as "long non-coding RNA (SPOL_LNC000444)". The record is from RNAcentral. Lineage: Eukaryota; Viridiplantae; Streptophyta; Magnoliopsida; Alismatales; Araceae.